GCAUAUCAAUAAGCGGAGGAAAAGAAACCAACAGGGAUUGCCCUAGUAACGGCGAGUGAAGCGGCAACAGCUCAAAUUUGAAAUCUGGCCCUAGUGGUCCGAAUUGUAAUUUGUAGAGGAUGCUUUGGGCGCGGUGCCUUCCGAGUUCCCUGGAACAGGACGCCUUAGAGGGUGAGAGCCCCGUACGGUUGGACACCAAGCCUAUGUAAAGCUCCUUCGACGAGUCGAGUAGUUUGGGAAUGCUGCUCUAAAUGGGAGGUAAAUUUCUUCUAAAGCUAAAUACCGGCCAGAGACCGAUAGCGCACAAGUAGAGUGAUCGAAAGAUGAAAAGUACUUUGAAAAGAGGGUUAAAUAGCACGUGAAAUUGUUGAAAGGGAAGCAUUUAUGACCAGACCUUUGCUAGGUGGAUCAUCCGGUGUUCUUCACCGGUGCACUUCGCCUAGCUUAGGCCAGCAUCGAUUUCUGUAGGGGGAUAAAGGUCUAGGGAACGUAGCUCUCUUCGGAGAGUGUUAUAGCCCUGGGCGUAAUACCCUUACGGGGAUCGAGGUUCGCGCUUCGGCAAGGAUGCUGGCAUAAUGGUCAUCAAUGACCCGUCUUGAAACACGGACC
Molecule: ribosomal RNA, 609 nt
Filed under: uncultured fungus
Lineage: Eukaryota; Fungi
Description: LSU rRNA
Rfam family: Eukaryotic large subunit ribosomal RNA
Source: RNAcentral